Molecule: small nucleolar RNA, 135 nt
Filed under: Hordeum vulgare subsp. vulgare (domesticated barley)
Lineage: Eukaryota; Viridiplantae; Streptophyta; Magnoliopsida; Poales; Poaceae
Description: Small nucleolar RNA snoR77
Rfam family: Small nucleolar RNA snoR77
Source: Rfam by way of RNAcentral
AGGCAGCCUCUUGCCAUUGCAGUGGCAUUGGAGGUGUUGCGUUGCUCGGAUAGUAAAACUUUUGCUAUUCAGAUUGGCCGAGAGGGUGGCUCCUGCUCCCCUCCUUGAAGCUGGUAUAGUAGUCUUAAGGACAUU